RNAcentral lists this ribosomal RNA (354 nucleotides) under uncultured Pelotomaculum sp. RNAcentral's name for it is "bacterial SSU rRNA". It matches the Rfam family "Bacterial small subunit ribosomal RNA", at positions 1028 to 1382 of the family's 1533-position model. Lineage: Bacteria; Bacillati; Bacillota; Clostridia; Eubacteriales; Desulfotomaculaceae. The record is from RNAcentral.
GGGAGGACAGGUGGUGCAUGGUUGUCGUCAGCUCGUGUCGUGAGAUGUUGGGUUAAGUCCCGCAACGAGCGCAACCCCUACGUUUAGUUGCUAACGCGUGAAGGCGAGCACUCUAGACGAACUGCAGUUGACAAAACGGAGGAAGGUGGGAUGACGUCAAAUCAUCAUGCCCCUUAUGUUCUGGGCUACACACGUGCUACAAUGGCCGGUACAGACGGACGCAAAGCCGCGAGGUGGAGCAAAUCCUAAAAAGCCGGUCUCAGUUCGGAUUGCAGGCUGCAAUUCGCCUGCAUGAAGUCGGAAUCGCUAGUAAUCGCAGGUCAGCAUACUGCGGUGAAUACGUUCCCGGGCCUU